UGUACCGUAUGUUCCAUGGGGAGUGCUC
Molecule: small RNA, 28 nt
Filed under: Bombyx mori (domestic silkworm)
Lineage: Eukaryota; Metazoa; Arthropoda; Insecta; Lepidoptera; Bombycidae
Description: ovarian small RNA-8907
Source: RNAcentral